GUCGUCUGCGUCGUCGUCGUCCGAAGACACAUUGGUUUCCGGAUAAUAACUUUAGUUUGAGUAAAUAGAUCUUUAUGAUUUUUUUUCAGAAGGUUUAAUACCACAAAAGGAAGGUUGGGAUUGAUUUUAGGGGUGAUGGUCCCAACCGUUUAGGAAUUAGGGGCCCAAAAGGGGCCCAAAACAAGCAUUUUUCUAGUUUCAGGAUAAUAACUUGUGUACAAAUAAUUCAAUUGCUCUGAAAUUAUACUGCAAUGAUUGAAACCACAAGUAGAAGGUUUGGAAUCAUUUAAGGGGUUAUGGGGCCAAA
RNAcentral lists this long non-coding RNA (307 nucleotides) under Mytilus galloprovincialis (Mediterranean mussel). Lineage: Eukaryota; Metazoa; Mollusca; Bivalvia; Mytilida; Mytilidae. The record is from RNAcentral.